GCGGGUGUGGUGUAGCCGGAAACAUCCGAGUCUUCCAAACUCAAGUCACGAGUUCGAAUCUCGUCACUCGCU
RNAcentral lists this transfer RNA (72 nucleotides) under Gloeobacterales cyanobacterium ES-bin-313. It matches the Rfam family "tRNA". From Rfam's summary of the family: Transfer RNA (tRNA) molecules are approximately 80 nucleotides in length. Their secondary structure includes four short double-helical elements and three loops (D, anti-codon, and T loops). Further hydrogen bonds mediate the characteristic L-shaped molecular structure. tRNAs have two regions of fundamental functional importance: the anti-codon, which is responsible for specific mRNA codon recognition, and the 3' end, to which the tRNAs corresponding amino acid is attached (by aminoacyl-tRNA synthetases). tRNAs cope with the degeneracy of the genetic code in two manners: having more than one tRNA (with a specific anti-codon) for a particular amino acid; and 'wobble' base-pairing, i.e. permitting non-standard base-pairing at the 3rd anti-codon position. Lineage: Bacteria; Bacillati; Cyanobacteriota; Cyanophyceae; Gloeobacterales. The record is from Rfam by way of RNAcentral.